GAAAUGCGGUAAGUAAUGUGAAUUGCAGAAUUCAGUGAAUCAUCGAAUCUUUGAACGCAUCUUGCGCUCCUUGGUAUUCCUUGGAGCAUGCCUGUUUGAGUAUCAUGAAAUCUUCAAAGUAAAUCUUUUGUUAACUCAAUUGGUUUCUACUUUGGUAUUGGAGGUCUUUGCAGCUUCACACCUGCUCCUCUUUGUUCAUUAGCUGGAUCUCAGUGUUAUGCUUGGUUCCACUCGGCGUGAUAAGUUAUCUAUCGCUGAGGACACUGUAAAAGGUGGCCAAGGUAAAUGCAGAUGAACCGCUUCUAAUAGUCCAUUGACUUGGACAAUACUUUUAUGAUCUGAUCUCAAAUCAGGUAGGACUACCCGCUGAACUUAAGC
This 378-nucleotide unclassified non-coding RNA is filed under the name plant metagenome. Its description in RNAcentral is "partial contains 5.8S ribosomal RNA, internal transcribed spacer 2, and large subunit ribosomal RNA". The stretch from base 1 to 105 matches the Rfam family "5.8S ribosomal RNA", at positions 50 to 154 of the family's 154-position model. The record is from RNAcentral.